CAACAGGGUUUGCCCCAGUAACGGCGAGUGAAGCGGCAACAGCUCAAAUUUGAAAUCUGGCCCCUAGGGCCCGAGUUGUAAUUUGCAGAGGAUGCUUUUGGCGAGGUGCCUUCCGAGUUCCCUGGAACGGGGACGCCAUAGAGGGUGAGAGCCCCGUCUGGUUGGAUGCCGAGCCUCUGUAAAGCUCCUUCGACGAGUCGAGUAGUUUGGGAAUGCUGCUCUAAAUGGGAGGUAUAUGUCUUCUAAAGCUAAAUACCGGCCAGAGACCGAUAGCGCACAAGUAGAGUGAUCGAAAGAUGAAAAGCACUUUGAAAAGAGGGUUAAAUAGUACGUGAAAUUGUUGAAAGGGAAGCACUUAUGACCAGACUUGGACCCGGUGAAUCAUCCAGCGUUCUCGCUGGUGCACUUUGCCGGGCUCAGGCCAGCAUCAGUUUGCCUCGGGGGAUAAAGGCUUUGGGAAUGUGGCUCCCUCGGGAGUGUUAUAGCCCAUUGCACAAUACCCUGGGGCGGACUGAGGUUCGCGCAUCUGCAAGGAUGCUGGCGUAAUGGUCAUCAGUGACCCGUCUUGAAACACGGACCAAGGAGUCGUCUUCGUAUGCGAGUGUUCGGGUGUAAAACCCCUACGCGUAAUGAAAGUGAACGCAGGUGAGAGCUUCGGCGCAUCAUCGACCGAUCCUGAUGUUCUCGGAUGGAUUUGAGUAAGAGCAUACGGGGCCGGACCCGAAAGAAGGUGAACUAUGCCUGUAUAGGGUGAAGCCAGAGGAAACUCUGGUGGAGGCUCGCAGCGGUUCUGACGUGCAAAUCGAUCGUCAAAUAUGGGCAUGGGGGCGAAAGACUAAUCGA
RNAcentral lists this ribosomal RNA (843 nucleotides) under Pochonia chlamydosporia. RNAcentral's name for it is "eukaryotic LSU rRNA". It matches the Rfam family "Eukaryotic large subunit ribosomal RNA", at positions 66 to 938 of the family's 3401-position model. Lineage: Eukaryota; Fungi; Ascomycota; Sordariomycetes; Hypocreales; Clavicipitaceae. The record is from RNAcentral.